UAGUUUAUUUUGUCACUAACAAUACUUAUUUUUCAGGCACAUAUAAAUUCAUCAUAUCAAGAAAUGUAUGAAAUUCACAAAUGUCAAAUAUCAUCUCUCGGAAAGUCUCAUUUUAUAUAAAAAAAGCUUCUUCAGGGGUAAGCUUCUGAGCAAUUGUUUCAGAAGAGUUAGUAUUUGAAGUAUAUGAUCCAUUUGUCAAGUUUACAUAAUGGAUUUCAGAUUAAAUUACAUGCAAACUCACAGAAUGAGAAACAUCCUUAAUCUUGGUGUAUGAACAUAAGAAUUUCUAGAUAACAAACGGUUCUUGGGGGCAUAUAUAAAUUUAUCAGAUCAAGAAAUUUUUUUCAGAGUAAGUUCAUAAAGCAAUUCGUUCAGGAGAGUUUCCAUGUGAAGUAGAUGAUCUAUUUCUCUUCUUUUCAACUGAGUACAUCAGAUUUCUGACAACGUUCAAGCAAUUGGGUAGUGUAUGGAGAUGAUUUUCUUAGUCUAGAUUUAUGGCAAAAUACGUUUUGAGAUAAGUUAUUCUGUUGGAAUUAUAUAAUGAUUAUUGAAACACAAUCUAUGAGUGAGCUUUUGCGUUAAAAUUCUAUGUUUAUAGACAUUUGUCGAGUUUUCUCAUUCAAGGUAAGAUUUUUCUCUUAUCGUAGAGAGAGGGA
This is a long non-coding RNA of Coccinella septempunctata (seven-spotted ladybird), 656 nucleotides long. RefSeq lists it as uncharacterized. The transcript has 3 exons. The record is from RefSeq and is a predicted model, not a curated record. Lineage: Eukaryota; Metazoa; Arthropoda; Insecta; Coleoptera; Coccinellidae.